CCUACGGGCGGUGCAGUGGGGAAUAUUGCACAAUGGGCGCAAGCCUGAUGCAGCCAUGCCGCGUGUGUGAAGAGGCCUUCGGGUUGUAAAGCACUUUCAGCGGGGAGGAAGGCGUUAAGGUUAAUAACCUUGGCGAUUGACGUUACCCGCAGAAGAAGCACCGGCUAACUCCGUGCCAGCAGCCGCGGUAAUACGGAGGGUGCAAGCGUUAAUCGGAAUUACCGGGCGUAAAGCGCACGCAGGCGGUCUGUCAAGUCGGAUGUGAAAUCCCCGGGCUCAACCUGGGAACUGCAUUCGAAACUGGCAGGCUAGAGUCUUGUAGAGGGGGGUAGAAUUCCAGGUGUAGCGGUGAAAUGCGUAGAGAUCUGGAGGAAUACCGGUGGCGAAGGCGGCCCCCUGGACAAAGACUGACGCUCAGGUGCGAAAGCGUGGGGAGCAAACAGGAUUAGAUACCCUAGUAGUC
Molecule: ribosomal RNA, 463 nt
Filed under: uncultured Klebsiella sp.
Lineage: Bacteria; Pseudomonadati; Pseudomonadota; Gammaproteobacteria; Enterobacterales; Enterobacteriaceae
Description: bacterial SSU rRNA
Rfam family: Bacterial small subunit ribosomal RNA
Source: RNAcentral